CUCAUUCUCCUUUCCCUCCUCUCCAUCUCCCUAUUGCAUUGUGUCUGACUGAUUUUCAGAGCACCUUCGCUGUUUCCCCCUUCUCAUUCCCUUUCUGUAAAAUAUCUAGACAGGAAGGAGGUGGCUGCAGAGGCUGAGCAAACAAUCUCAUAUUCUGCCUGCAAUGUCAUCGUUUCUUUCCCCCAUUUUAGGGGGCUGAAGUUGCCCAGGAAGGGGAUGCAGAGGAGCUGGAAAGGAAGGGGGGAGCUCUCCAGAGGCAGCUGCGGUCAGGGGCAGGGACUGCCGCCAGAUGUGCCUGCCUCUCUGGGCUUUGAUUCGAAAGGGGCAGCAGGAGGAAAUAUUGGGAGACAAAAGCCCCGGUUUAAAUGAUCAUUUUCUUUAUUUAACAUGGCAGCAGACACUCUCUGCGUAGGAUCAUCAUGCCGAGCAUAAACUGGACUUUCCCACUUGCCUGGCAGGAGUGAGACAGAUCACUGUGUGCUAAAUGAGCAUCUGAGAUGUCCUUGGCAUGUGCACUCCUGUAGAAUCCAGUUCAUCUCCAAUCUGUCAGCAAGCAUCAGAGGUAGUUUUGACUCCUUAUGUCCUGAGCCUGUGCACAAAAUAUACCUUGUGUGGAGGAAAAUGAGAUCCCGAGUGAAGUCUACAAUGUCAUUGACUCUGAAGAAGGACUCAGAGACCCAUUGGUGUUUAAUGACCCUUACUGGCCUAUGCAAUGGGAACUGAAUCAAUUUUGUAAUAAUGGCCUCAUAACUUGAGAACACCUGUCAAUAAAGGAAAUUCUUUUCUGAGCCUGGAUCUGCAAUGUGAAAUGUAAGGAAGGGAAAAAAAGCAGGAAACACUGGAAAGAUAAAUGAAGUCUAUCUUAUGAAGGUAUGUCCCACAGAGAGAUCUAUACCACUGAUUGGCAUUCACACCUGUGGAAGCAAAGUGUCAAUGCUGAUAGAACUGAAAACGUUUACACACCAGGAAAUGGUUACCUUGGUUUCCUGGACCGAGAUUAAUUCCUAACCGCUCAACUUUCCUACAUAAUUAAGAAUUUGCAGCUUAAGCACUGCCAAAAACCACAUCUGCACUGAAAUCAAUUAUCUGUGUUUGGUGCGGACACUGAUAACAUGUCAAGGUAUGGUAAUGAAACAUCGUCUUUCAAUAACAACACAACUGCCC
This is a long non-coding RNA of Mustela erminea (ermine), 1164 nucleotides long. RefSeq lists it as uncharacterized. The record is from RefSeq and is a predicted model, not a curated record. The transcript has 8 exons. Lineage: Eukaryota; Metazoa; Chordata; Mammalia; Carnivora; Mustelidae.